UUCCCCUCGCCGAAGCCGCGAACGCCACCAGCCGGAAGCGCGUAUAUAAAUACUCGCGCCGGCGCUUUGUGGUCUUCCUAGUGUCCACGAGUUCGUGCUUCCGUUUUCAUGUCCAGGUAGGUCGCUCCUGAUGGGCUUUGACCCAGUAAAUGGGCGUUCGUUGAAAAUCAUCCUCGGCUUUGGCCUGUGGCCGGGGUUGAGAAUCGGCGCCCAGAGCCACAGAGGCCUCAGCUCACCCCCUGCUGCCCCAGUGUGGGAGGGUGAAACCCAGGCCCCUACAUUCCAGAUCGCCUCGCCGCUCCCGCGGUCUGGCUUGGGGCCACAGUCCUAAUCACGUCAUUUAUUUCACAGGUUCCACUGGAUCUGAACGUUGUCGCCGCCUCCCCCGCAAGAGUGGCAGUGUUCGGGUGUCCUCUUUUCUCAAAAUGAGUUAAUUCCACCGGAUCUGGACGUUGCCGCUGACUCUCCCGCGAGAAUGACAGGGUUCGGAUGUCCUCUUUUCUCAAAUAAAAUGUUUUAACUUAACUGUGUAUUAAUGUGUUGGACGGUUAC
RNAcentral lists this long non-coding RNA (552 nucleotides) under Rattus norvegicus (Norway rat). RNAcentral's name for it is "long non-coding RNA NONRATT005260". The stretch from base 156 to 283 matches the Rfam family "Small nucleolar RNA ACA64". The record is from RNAcentral. Lineage: Eukaryota; Metazoa; Chordata; Mammalia; Rodentia; Muridae.